AGAGUUUGAUCAUGGCUCAGGAUGAACGCUGGCGGCGUGCUUAACACAUGCAAGUCGAACGAACCUUCGGGUUAGUGGCGGACGGGUGAGUAACGCGUGAGAAUCUGCCCUCAGGAGGGGGAUAACGGUUGGAAACGACCGCUAAUACCCCAUAUGCCUACUGGUGAAAUGAAUUUCGCCUGAGGAUGAGCUCGCGUCUGAUUAGCUAGUUGGUGAGGUAAUGGCUCACCAAGGCUUCGAUCAGUAGCUGGUCUGAGAGGAUGAUCAGCCACACUGGGACUGAGACACGGCCCAGACUCCUACGGGAGGCAGCAGUGGGGAAUUUUCCGCAAUGGGCGAAAGCCUGACGGAGCAACGCCGCGUGAGGGACGAAGGCCUCUGGGCUGUAAACCUCUUUUCUCAAGGAAGAAGAUAUGACGGUACUUGAGGAAUAAGCCACGGCUAAUUCCGUGCCAGCAGCCGCGGUAAUACGGGAGUGGCAAGCGUUAUCCGGAAUUAUUGGGCGUAAAGCGUCCGCAGGCGGCUUUUCAAGUCUGCUGUUAAAGCGUGGAGCUUAACUCCAUCAUGGCAGUGGAAACUGAAAGGCUUGAGUAUGGUAGGGGCAGAGGGAAUUCCCGGUGUAGCGGUGAAAUGCGUAGAUAUCGGGAAGAACACCAGUGGCGAAGGCGCUCUGCUGGGCCAUUACUGACGCUCAUGGACGAAAGCCAGGGGAGCGAAAGGGAUUAGAUACCCCUGUAGUCCUGGCCGUAAACGAUGAACACUAGGUGUCGGGGGAAUCGACCCCUUCGGUGUCGUAGCUAACGCGUUAAGUGUUCCGCCUGGGGAGUACGCACGCAAGUGUGAAACUCAAAGGAAUUGACGGGGGCCCGCACAAGCGGUGGAGUAUGUGGUUUAAUUCGAUGCAACGCGAAGAACCUUACCAGGGUUUGACAUCCUGCGAACCUCUUAGAAAUUUGAGGGUGCCUUCGGGAAUGCAGUGACAGGUGGUGCAUGGCUGUCGUCAGCUCGUGUCGUGAGAUGUUGGGUUAAGUCCCGCAACGAGCGCAACCCACGUUUUUAGUUGCCAGCAUUUAGUUGGGCACUCUAGAAAGACCGCCGGUGAUAAACCGGAGGAAGGUGUGGAUGACGUCAAGUCAUCAUGCCCCUUACACCCUGGGCUACACACGUACUACAAUGCUACGGACAAAGGGCAGCAAACUCGCGAGAGCUAGCAAAUCCCAUAAACCGUGGCUCAGUUCAGAUCGUAGGCUGCAACUCGCCUACGUGAAGCAGGAAUCGCUAGUAAUCGCAGGUCAGCAUACUGCGGUGAAUACGUUCCCGGGCCUUGUACACACCGCCCGUCACACCAUGGAAGUUGGCCAUGCCCGAAGUCGUUACUCCAACCCUUGUGGAGGAGGACGCCGAAGGUGGGGCUAAUGACUGGGGUGAAGUCGUAACAAGGUAACCGUA
This 1449-nucleotide ribosomal RNA is filed under the name uncultured bacterium. Its description in RNAcentral is "bacterial SSU rRNA". It matches the Rfam family "Bacterial small subunit ribosomal RNA". The record is from RNAcentral.